CCGUACCUGACCUGGUCAAGGGUGCGAGUCAAGCCACGGUGGCGGCAGGCCAUCUCUAACUCUCUAUCGCCCGAGCCGCCGCAUUGGUCGUUCAACUCGUAGCCCCGGCGGGCCGGCGGCGAGUCACCUUCAGUUCGUGUCCCUGAAGAACACGUAUGAAUGGGAUGUUUGGGAUUUCUUGUGCUUGGUACUCCAAGUAUGACGAGAGAACAUAAAUCUCCGCAAAUGUCAACGCAAUCUCGGUAGGCUGACCUACUGGAUUUGAGAGGUCAACAGUCAACAGUCUAACACCAGUGACAUUUCAGAGUACAGAAAUUUCAGUUUAAGAUAGUAUGGCAUAUCCUUGGGGCUCGCUACAAAAAGUGCGAAACCCACAAGCUUUACAAAGUAUUUAUUUACCCAUAUAAGUACUUGAUAGGAUACUGACCUUUCCAACAUUUGUUCUGAAAUUUCCUCCGUUUCAAAUCCAUCAUCCUUUGUAUGCUGAAGUUUUGGAAUAGGAUUGAGCUUCCCAUGUUAGGAUGGGCUGAUAAGUUCCUCUUGAA
This is a long non-coding RNA of Sorghum bicolor (sorghum), 545 nucleotides long. RefSeq lists it as uncharacterized. The transcript has 2 exons. NCBI's taxonomy places the organism in Eukaryota, Viridiplantae, Streptophyta, Magnoliopsida, Poales, Poaceae. The record is from RefSeq and is a predicted model, not a curated record.